AAUAGAUACCCUGGUAGUCCACGCCGUAAACGAUGAGUGCUAGGUGUUGGGGGUUUCAAUACCCUCAGUGCCGCAGCUAACGCAAUAAGCACUCCGCCUGGGGAGUACGCUCGCAAGAGUGAAACUCAAAGGAAUUGACGGAGGCCCGCACAAGCGGUGGAGCAUGUGGUUUAAUUCGAAGCAACGCGAAGAACCUUACCAGGUCUUGACAUCCCGCUGACCGCCCUAGAGAUAGGGCUUCCCUUCGGGGCAGCGGUGACAGGUGGUGCAUGGUUGUCGUCAGCUCGUGUCGUGAGAUGUUGGGUUAAGUCCCGCAACGAGCGCAACCCUUAUUUCUAGUUGCCAGCAUUCAGUUGGGCACUCUAGAGAGACUGCCGUCGACAAGACGGAGGAAGGCGGGGAUGACGUCAAAUCAUCAUGCCCCUUAUGACCUGGGCUACACACGUGCUACAAUGGUUGGUACAACGGGAUGCUACCUCGCGAGAGGACGCCAAUCUCUGAAAACCAAUCUCAGUUCGGU
RNAcentral lists this ribosomal RNA (520 nucleotides) under uncultured bacterium. RNAcentral's name for it is "bacterial SSU rRNA". It matches the Rfam family "Bacterial small subunit ribosomal RNA", at positions 777 to 1297 of the family's 1533-position model. The record is from RNAcentral.